Molecule: transfer RNA, 67 nt
Filed under: Turritella bacillum
Lineage: Eukaryota; Metazoa; Mollusca; Gastropoda; Turritellidae
Description: tRNA-Ser
Rfam family: tRNA
About the family: Transfer RNA (tRNA) molecules are approximately 80 nucleotides in length. Their secondary structure includes four short double-helical elements and three loops (D, anti-codon, and T loops).
Source: RNAcentral
AGUUGCUUGUCCUGGGGACUUUUUGUCUUGAAAACAGAAUGGGAGUGUUCGAAUCACUUAGUGACUU